RNAcentral lists this ribosomal RNA (658 nucleotides) under uncultured bacterium. RNAcentral's name for it is "bacterial SSU rRNA". It matches the Rfam family "Bacterial small subunit ribosomal RNA", at positions 56 to 692 of the family's 1533-position model. The record is from RNAcentral.
UGCAGUCGUACGCGAAAGAAGGGCAACCUUCGAGUAAAGUGGCGCACGGGUGAGUAACACGUGGAUAACCUGCCCCAAAGUCUGGGAUAACGUGCCGAAAGGUGCGCUAAUACCGGAUACCUUUGUGCCUCACAAGAGGUAUAAAGAAAGGAGGCCUCUGCUUGCAAGCUUUCGCUUUGGGAUGGGUCCGCGGCCUAUCAGGUAGUUGGUAGGGUAACGGCCUACCAAGCCUACGACGGGUAGCUGGUCUGAGAGGACGAUCAGCCACAUUGGGACUGAGACACGGCCCAGACUCCUACGGGAGGCAGCAGUGGGGAAUAUUGGGCAAUGGGAGAAAUCCUGACCCAGCAACGCCGCGUGGAGGAUGAAGGCCUUCGGGUUGUAAACUCCUGUCAGCAGGGAAAAAGAUUGCAAAAGCUAAUACCUUUUGCAGUUUGAUGGUACCUGCUAAGGAAGCACCGGCUAACUACGUGCCAGCAGCCGCGGUAAUACGUAGGGUGCAAGCGUUAUUCGGAAUCACUGGGCGUAAAGGGCGCGCAGGCGGUUUUGUAAGUCUAAAGUGAAAUCCUUGGGCUUAACCCAGGGGCUGCUUUAGAUACUGCAAAACUCGAGUUCGGGAAAAGCAAGCGGAAUUCCUGGUGAAGGGGUGAAAUCCGUA